Molecule: unclassified non-coding RNA, 196 nt
Filed under: fungal sp.
Lineage: Eukaryota; Fungi
Description: partial internal transcribed spacer region
Rfam family: Eukaryotic small subunit ribosomal RNA (bases 1-46)
Source: RNAcentral
AAGUCGUAACAAGGUUUCCGUAGGUGAACCUGCGGAAGGAUCAUUAUUUGAUCUAAAUCGGAGGUAUUUGCAAAAAUAUCGCCGUUUUGCUUUGUGAACUGUUUUUUUGUACUGUUGUAAUUUUUUUAAAAAGUUGUUGUUUUCUUCGGAAAACAGAAAUUAAAGACAACUUUCAGCAAUGGAUCUCUUGGCUCUU